GAGAGAGAGAGAGAGAGAGAGAGAGAAUUUAAAUAGUCGCAUUGUGUAGGAGUGAAUGGGAUGAGGUCGCUUUUGGGCACAAACACCAUCAAUAGUCAAUGGACGUGUUGUUCCCUCACUUCUCGCUUUCUC
Molecule: microRNA precursor, 132 nt
Filed under: Trypanosoma vivax Y486
Lineage: Eukaryota; Euglenozoa; Kinetoplastea; Trypanosomatida; Trypanosomatidae
Source: RNAcentral